CAAAUUCUUUACGCCUUUCUUUUCCUUUUUGAAGCGUAGCGGUUAAAGAACUUGAUCCUCUAUUUAUCCGGACCACAAACUCAAAGUUUUCACAUGUCAUUGAUUUUACCUGUCCUAGGCUUUCUUCUUUCAUUGCCUUUUUUCGUCUUUUUUCAAGCAAAAUAGGACUUUUUCUCAUCUUUCUAUUUAACGAUAAUUGAGUUCAAAAGAAGGCAUUUGACUUUCUUUUUUGCUUUGAACCUUACAGAGGAGAGUGGAAUUUCGUGUGUAGGGGUGAAAUCCGAAGAUCUACGAAGGAAGGCCAAAAGCGAAGGCAACUCUCUGGAUCCCUACCGACGCUGGGGUGCGAAAGCAUGGGGAGCGAACGGGGUUAGAUACCCUGGUAGUCCAUGCCGUAAAUGAUGAGUGUUCGCCCUUGGUCUAGGCGGAUUAGGGGUCCAGCUAACGCGUGAAACACUCCGCCUGGGGAGUACGGUCGCAAGACUGAAACUCAAAGG
This 497-nucleotide non-coding RNA is filed under the name Cucumis melo (muskmelon). RNAcentral describes it as "Bacterial small subunit ribosomal RNA". It matches the Rfam family "Bacterial small subunit ribosomal RNA", at positions 596 to 907 of the family's 1533-position model. The record is from Rfam by way of RNAcentral. Lineage: Eukaryota; Viridiplantae; Streptophyta; Magnoliopsida; Cucurbitales; Cucurbitaceae.